UUCGAAGUGUUUGGGAUAAAUGAAAACAAGAACUUUGUUUGUGUAAGAACAGGGAAUAGCACUGAGAGGACUUUUCAUAAUCGACAAGGAAGGAGUGAUCCAACAUUCCACCAUCAACAAUCUUGGUAUUGGCCGAAGCGUUGAUGAGACAAUGAGAACCCUCCA
Molecule: small RNA, 165 nt
Filed under: Arabidopsis thaliana (thale cress)
Lineage: Eukaryota; Viridiplantae; Streptophyta; Magnoliopsida; Brassicales; Brassicaceae
Description: ATSL136370
Source: RNAcentral